RNAcentral lists this ribosomal RNA (1335 nucleotides) under uncultured bacterium. RNAcentral describes it as "bacterial SSU rRNA". It matches the Rfam family "Bacterial small subunit ribosomal RNA", at positions 1 to 1376 of the family's 1533-position model. The record is from RNAcentral.
GCGGGAAUUCGAUUAGAGUUUGAUCAUGGCUCAGAACGUACGCUGGCGGCACGCCUAACACAUGCAAGUCGAACGAAGUAGCAAUACUUAGUGGCAGACGGGUGAGUAACAUGUAGGUAUCUACCCUUUGGCCUGGAAUAACACGAGGAAACUUGUGCUAAUACCGGAUGAGUCUUUACGGAGAAAGCUUUAUGCACCAUUGGAUGAGCCUGCACUUGAUUAGUUUGUUGGUGGGGUAAUGGCCUACCAAGACUUUGAUCAAUAGCUGAUUUGAGAGGAUGAUCAGCCACAUUGGGACUGAGACACGGCCCAAACUCCUACGGGAGGCAGCAGUGGGGAAUCUUGCACAAUGGAGGAAACUCUGAUGCAGCGAUGCCGCGUGAGUGAAGAAGGCCCUUGGGUUGUAAAGCUCUUUCGUCGGGGAAGAAAAUGACUGUACCCGAAUAAGAAGGUCCGGCUAACUUCGUGCCAGCAGCCGCGGUAAUACGAAGGGACCUAGCGUAGUUCGGAAUUACUGGGCUUAAAGAGUUCGUAGGUGGUUGAAAAAGUUGGUGGUGAAAUCCCAGAGCUUAACUCUGGAACUGCCAUCAAAACUUUUCAGCUAGAGUUUGAUAGAGGAAAGCAGAAUUUCUAGUGUAGAGGUGAAAUUCGUAGAUAUUAGAAAGAAUACCAAUUGCGAAGGCAGCUUUCUGGAUCAUUACUGACACUGAGGAACGAAAGCAUGGGUAGCGAAGAGGAUUAGAUACCCUCGUAGUCCAUGCCGUAAACGAUGUGUGUUAGACGUUGGAAAUUUAUUUUCAGUGUCGCAGCGAAAGCGAUAAACACACCGCCUGGGGAGUACGACCGCAAGGUUAAAACUCAAAUGAAUUGACGGGGACCCGCACAAGUAGUGGAGCAUGUGGUUUAAUUCGAAGAUACGCGCAGAACCUUACCAACACUUGACAUGUUCGUCGCGACUUUAAGAAAUUAAAGUUUUCGGUUCGGCCGGACGAAACACAGGUGCUGCAUGGCUGUCGUCAGCUCGUGUCGUGAGAUGUUGGGUUAAGUCCCGCAACGAGCGCAACCCUCACUUUUAGUUGCCAUCAUUAAGUUGGGCACUCUGAAAGAACUGCCAGUGAUAAGCUGGAGGAAGGUGGGGAUGACGUCAAGUCCUCAUGGCCCUUACGUGUUGGGCUACACACGUGCUACAAUGGUAUUUACAACAGGAAGCAAGACGGCGACGUUAAGCAAAUCCUUAAAAAAUACCUCAGUUCGGAUUGCACUCUGCAACUCGAGUGCAUGAAGCUGGAAUUACUAGUAAUCGUGGAUCAGCGUGCCACGGUGAAUGCGUUCCCG